GAUGAACGCUGGCGGCGUGCCUAACACAUGCAAGUCGAACGGAGAUUCCGGACGGAAGUUUUCGGAUGGAAGCCUGUAAUUCUUAGUGGCGGACGGGUGAGUAACGCGUGGGCAACCUGCCCUAUACAGGGGGAUAGCAGCUGGAAACGGCUGGUAAGACCGCAUAAGUCGGUUAAAUCGCAUGAUUUGAUCGGGAAAUGAGCAAUCAGGUAUAGGAUGUGCCGGCUUCCGUUUAGCCAGUUGGCAGGGUAAAAGCCUACCAAAGCGACGAUCGGUAGCCGGAAUGAGAGGGAGGAAGGACACAAUGGGACUGAGAAACGGCCCAAACUCCUACGGGAGGCAGCAGUGGGGGAUAUAGCAAAAUGGAGGAAACUAUGAUGCAGCGACGACGGGUGAGUGAAGAAGUAUUUCGGUAUGUAAAGCUCUAUCAGCAGGGAAGAUGAUGACGGUACCUGACUAAGAAGCCCCGGCUAACUACGUG
This 481-nucleotide ribosomal RNA is filed under the name uncultured bacterium. Its description in RNAcentral is "partial 16S ribosomal RNA". It matches the Rfam family "Bacterial small subunit ribosomal RNA", at positions 28 to 507 of the family's 1533-position model. The record is from RNAcentral.